GGGAGCCUGAUGUGGGACUUGAUCCCGGGACUCCAGGAUAACGCCCUGGACCAAAGGCAGGUGCUAAACUGCUGAGCCACCCAGGGAUCCCUGGCCAAACCCAUUUUAAUAACUGCAUAAUAUACCACAGUAUAAACGUUUUAAAUUUAACUAUUUCCGUAUUGGAAGAUGUGUUUGCUUUCUAGUUUUUCACUAUCCUGGGGGAGGAGUAGGUUUGAGAGAGAGAGGAAGAAAAUAGAUCUUCAAGUGAGAGAUAAGAGACCUGGGUUAUUUCCAAUUUUAUUCUAACCUGCGACCUCUGGUAAAUCCCAUUCCUUCUCUAGGAAUAAGUAUCUGAACCUGUCAAAGAGGUUUUAGAUCAUGUAUCUUUUGAGAUGAUUAAAGCUCUAUACCCCCCCAGAAAUGCCCAAAUAGAAAACAUUUCUUAGGAAUAUGAAGAUAUGAGUGCUGUAAUCUCUUAAAUCUGCCCAUAAACCCCACUUUGAGAUUUUAUAGGCUGCAUGGCUCUCAAGGUUUUUCCCUGACUCCAGAAACCAUUUGAAGCAGUAUGAUUUUCUAAAUAAAGAAGUGGGUUUGCAGCCCAGCUGUGUGUUGCACUUGGUCACUAAUCUCCCUGUCACAUUUGUGGUAUUUUAGGACAGUUUCUCCUCACUUGAACAGUCUCGAGUCUCAGUCUGAGUUUGUGGGUUUGUGGAGCUGCAGGGCACCUCUGGCCAGCUUGCAGCACCUACAUCAGCCAGUGGUCACUCCAGCCCCUUUUGAGUGCCUCUGGGCUACUCUUUUCCCUUUAGUAGGUCUGCAGCACCCCUCCCACCAGGACAUCCUGACACUCAUCACAUUCUCCUCCUGGCUCUUAACUCCUUACAUCCACCCAGAAUGGACUUGGGUCUUCCAAAAUAUAUGAGACUAUAAGGAGAGUGGGCUAAGAUACCUAAUGUUCAGUAUUUGAAAAUUUCAGCUGCUAAUGUGUAUUUGAUGUUUGGUGCUUUUAUAUAUUUUUAGAAACCAUCUUUUUUGCUUCAGGACAACCUAAGAGAAAGGCAGAGAAUGUGGCACAACAGUUAUAUUUUUCUCUGGGUCCAAGUUCUCCCUCAGUUAAGAGUCCUUUCUCUCGCCAGCUGUUUCCCUUGUCUCCACACCUGAUUAGACAUACCUCUUCCUAAAAAAAAAAAAAAAAA
This 1178-nucleotide long non-coding RNA is filed under the name Canis lupus familiaris (dog). Its description in RNAcentral is "lncRNA (ENSCAFG00000050249.1)". The record is from RNAcentral. Lineage: Eukaryota; Metazoa; Chordata; Mammalia; Carnivora; Canidae.